Molecule: transfer RNA, 90 nt
Organism: Trametes pubescens
Lineage: Eukaryota; Fungi; Basidiomycota; Agaricomycetes; Polyporales; Polyporaceae
Rfam family: tRNA
About the family: Transfer RNA (tRNA) molecules are approximately 80 nucleotides in length.
Source: Rfam
GGCCGACUGGCCUAAUGGUUAAGGCGUCAGUUUCCGGUGCUUAAGGAAUAUAGUAGCUGAAGAUUCUGGGUUCGAAUCCCAGGUUGGUCG